RNAcentral lists this ribosomal RNA (522 nucleotides) under uncultured archaeon. RNAcentral describes it as "bacterial SSU rRNA". It matches the Rfam family "Archaeal small subunit ribosomal RNA", at positions 316 to 828 of the family's 1478-position model. The record is from RNAcentral.
CCCCGCCNGACGGGGUGCAGCAGGCGCGAAAACUUGGCAAUGCGAGAAAUCGUGACCAGGGAACUCCAAGUGGCUGGGGUAAGACCCAGUCUUUUCUUGACUCUUCAACGGUCUUGGAAUAAGGGGUGGGUAAGGACGGUGCCAGCCGCCGCGGUAAUACCGGCGCCUCAAGUGGUAGUCGAUUUUAUUGGGCCUAAAACGUCCGUAGCCUGUUUGGUACAUUCGUGGGUAAAUCAACCAGCUCAACUGGUUGAAUUCUGCGAGCACGGCCAGACUUGGGACCGGGAGAGGUGUGGGGUACGCUCAGGGUAGGGGUAAAAUCCUGUCAUCCUGAGCGGACCACCUGUUGCGAAGGCGCCACACUAGAACGGAUCCGACGGUCAGGGACGAAGCCUAGGGGCACGAACCGGAUUAGAUACCCGGGUAGUCCUAGGUGUAAACGCUGUGGACUUGGUGUUGGGGACUCUCCGAGAUUCCUCAGUGCCGAAGCGAAGGUGAUAAGUCCACUGCCNNGGAGUNGNU